CACGUAGGAGGCAAACGUUAUCCGGAUUUACUGGGCGUAAAGCGCGUGUAGGUGGUUCUGUAAGUAGGGCGUGAAAGCUCCCGGCUCAACUGGGAGAGGCCGUUCUAAACUGCAGAGCUAGAGGAUGGUAGAGGGAGGUGGAAUUCCAGGUGUAGCGGUGGAAUGCGCAGAUAUCUGGAGGAACACCAGUGGCGAAGGCGGCCUCCUGGACCAUUCCUGACACUCAGACGCGAAAGCUAGGGUAGCAAACGGGAUUAGAUACCCCCGUAGUCCCUGA
This 277-nucleotide ribosomal RNA is filed under the name uncultured prokaryote. RNAcentral describes it as "partial 16S ribosomal RNA". It matches the Rfam family "Bacterial small subunit ribosomal RNA", at positions 524 to 800 of the family's 1533-position model. The record is from RNAcentral.